AGAACGAACGCUGGCGGCAGGCUUAACACAUGCAAGUCGAACGGUUGUAGCAAUACAGCAGUGGCAGACGGGUGAGUAACACGUGGGAACCUUCCUAGGGGUACGGAACAACUCAGGGAAACUUGAGCUAAUACCGUAUACGUCCGUGAGGAGAAAGAUUUAUCGCCCCUAGACGGGCCCGCGUAGGAUUAGGUAGUUGGUGAGGUAACGGCUCACCAAGCCUACGAUCCUUAGCUGAUCUGAGAGGAUGAUCAGCCACACUGGGACUGAGACACGGCCCAGACUCCUACGGGAGGCAGCAGUGGGGAAUCUUGGACAAGUGGG
RNAcentral lists this ribosomal RNA (324 nucleotides) under uncultured soil bacterium. Its description in RNAcentral is "bacterial SSU rRNA". It matches the Rfam family "Bacterial small subunit ribosomal RNA", at positions 26 to 376 of the family's 1533-position model. The record is from RNAcentral.